UACGUAGGGUGCAAGCGUUGUCCGGAAUUAUUGGGCGUAAAGAGCUCGUAGGCGGUUUGUCGCGUCGAAUGUGAAAUCCCGGGGCUCAACCCCGGGUCUGCAUUCGAUACGGGCAGACUAGAGUUCGGUAGGGGAGUCUGGAAUUCCUGGUGUAGCGGUGAAAUGCGCAGAUAUCAGGAGGAACACCGGUGGCGAAGGCGGGUCUCUGGGCCGAUACUGACGCUGAGGAGCGAAAGCGUGGGAGCGAACAGG
This 252-nucleotide ribosomal RNA is filed under the name uncultured bacterium. RNAcentral's name for it is "partial 16S ribosomal RNA". It matches the Rfam family "Bacterial small subunit ribosomal RNA", at positions 524 to 776 of the family's 1533-position model. The record is from RNAcentral.